GUGCAGCAGGCGAGAAACUUUACAAUGUGCGAAAGCACGAUAAGGGAACUCUGAGUGCCUCCUAAGGAGGCUGUUCAGGUGUCUAAAAGCACCUGAAGGAAGGGCUGGGUAAGACCGGUGCCAGCCGCCGCGGUAACACCGGCAGCCCAAGUGGUAGCCACGUUUAUUGGGUCUAAAGCGUCCGUAGCCGGCUGGGUAAGUUCCUUGGGAAAUUUGGCUGCUUAACAGUCAAGCUUUCAGGGAAUACUGCCCGGCUUGGGACCGGGAGAGGUCAGAGGUACUCCAGGGGUAGGGGUGAAAUCCAUUAAUCCUUGGGGGACCACCGGUAGCGAAGGCGUCUGACCAGACCGGGUCCGACGGUGAGGGACGAAGGCUA
This 376-nucleotide ribosomal RNA is filed under the name uncultured microorganism. Its description in RNAcentral is "bacterial SSU rRNA". It matches the Rfam family "Archaeal small subunit ribosomal RNA", at positions 330 to 713 of the family's 1478-position model. The record is from RNAcentral.